Molecule: long non-coding RNA, 222 nt
Filed under: Musa acuminata (dwarf banana)
Lineage: Eukaryota; Viridiplantae; Streptophyta; Magnoliopsida; Zingiberales; Musaceae
Description: long non-coding RNA (MACU_LNC009318)
Source: RNAcentral
UCCACUUUUGGCUUCCUCCACCGACGAGGUCACCGACGUCAACUAGAGGCCUUCCUUCAAUAGGCGAAGGCCAACCACCCUUUUACAGUUUCACUCCUUUUGACGGGCUUAGGAGACAACCCUUACAGAAAUUUCUCUCCUCUCUUUACAACUCAGAACUUGGAAGAACAGAGGGAGAAGAACUUUUGGCCUUUACAACAAUUUUGAGCUCUUAGAAUCACA